UUGAAAGGGAAACGAUUGAAGUCAGUCGUACCGGUGGGUAAUCAGCCUUUCGGGAGAUUAUGUGAAGCGUGAGGAGUCAAACGCCCUCAUGCCUGCAUAUUCGUGUUCUUUGGGUGUACUUACCCGCAUGGUAGGUUAACAUCAAUUUCGAACGUCAUAAAAUGGUUGGAGGAAUGUAGCUUCGAUCUCGUAUUGAAGUGUUAUAGCCUUCGGCAGAUGUGAUGAUCGGGAUUGAGGAUUGCAACGGAUACCCCUCGGGCUACCCGUCUGAUCUCUGAAAGUUACUCUGGUGCCGAAAGCUCGCUUACGGUCAUCAAAGUUGACGUUCAGCAGGUUAGAACGGGAUAAAUUCGUUAAGGAUGUUGACGUA
Molecule: ribosomal RNA, 370 nt
Filed under: uncultured Glomeromycotina
Lineage: Eukaryota; Fungi; Glomeromycota
Description: LSU rRNA
Source: RNAcentral